This 103-nucleotide ribosomal RNA is filed under the name Propithecus coquereli (Coquerel's sifaka). The record is from RNAcentral. Lineage: Eukaryota; Metazoa; Chordata; Mammalia; Primates; Indriidae.
GUUUAUGGCCAUAACCACCCUCAAUGCAACCUGGUCUCAUCUGAUCUCAGAAGCUAAGCAGGGUCGGGCCUGGUUAGUCCUUGGAUGGGAGGAGUCACCAGUU